Molecule: ribosomal RNA, 253 nt
Filed under: uncultured bacterium
Lineage: Bacteria
Description: partial 16S ribosomal RNA
Rfam family: Bacterial small subunit ribosomal RNA
Source: RNAcentral
UACGUAGGUCCCGAGCGUUGUCCGGAUUUAUUGGGUUUAAAGGGUGCGUAGGCGGAUUGAUAAGUUAGAGGUGAAAUGUCCGAGCUCAACUCGGGAACUGCCUCUAAUACUGUUGAUCUAGAGAGUAGAUGCGGUAGGCGGAAUGUAUGGUGUAGCGGUGAAAUGCUUAGAGAUCGUACAGAACACCGAUUGCGAAGGCAGCUUACCAAUCUAUAUCUGACGUUGAGGCACGAAAGCGUGGGGAGCAAACAGG